Non-coding RNA from Saccharata proteae CBS 121410, 91 nucleotides. The record is from the annotation of a GenBank genome assembly. NCBI's taxonomy places the organism in Eukaryota, Fungi, Ascomycota, Dothideomycetes, Botryosphaeriales, Saccharataceae.
GCCUGGCUAGCUCAAUUGGUCAGAGCAUCCGACUUUUAUCGCUACUGCGAGACCAAUCGGAAGGUUGUGAGUUCGAGCCUCACGUCGGGCG